This 783-nucleotide long non-coding RNA is filed under the name Crocodylus porosus (Australian saltwater crocodile). RNAcentral describes it as "lncRNA (ENSCPRG00005002881.1)". The record is from RNAcentral. Lineage: Eukaryota; Metazoa; Chordata; Crocodylia; Crocodylidae.
GCUGGCUGCUCCUUUUCUGGGAAUUUGGCACAGGAAAGAGGCUCCCUCUUGCGACUAAAUGCAAUUGCUACAGGCCCAGGGAACCCGGAGGCGGUGCGUUCCUGGGAGUCUGGACUGGCUGCUCAGCACUGGGCAAAUACUGGCCAGAGCUCUCUUCCUCCGCUGCCCUGAGGGCUGGCACGUGCUGGGGGGGUUGUCAAGCCAAGACCAUGUGGGAGAAAGCAGGUCUGAUGUCUCUUCCCAUCUCAUUUUUAUCGGGCUACAUCCUCCCUCCCACCCCCACUCGCGUGGAUGCAGAAAGGAAACGACUGGCUUCCUUUCCUUGGCUGCAGCCAGCUUCCUUCCUUCGACUCCCGCCGCCCGGGGUUGCGUCAGCGGACCCUUCAGACCGUGCCUUGCAAACCACAGCACAGGACAUAAAAGAGCCGGGCUCAGCGAGACGGAAGCGAAAGCCAAAAGCGGGCUGGCAGGCCGCAUUAUCAGUGUCACAUUGAAAACCGACGCCGGGGCAGCCGCACGCCAAACCCGACAGGAACUGCACGCCCCAGCGCGUCUCCCACCCGGGGCUUCGAGACGCAAACAAGUCUCGGCUCAAGAAGCAUCCAAGCUUUCCAUGUGUAAACGGGACUUGAUAACUGCAGGUGUGCCCAAGAGAGCGAGCUCGGAGAGAGCGUGAAGCACAGCGAGAGACUCAGAGAUGGAAGACAACGUGCCGGCAGGGUGUUGUUGGGGCACAUCACCCACCCCCACCAGACCUAACUGGGGAGUCUUCCCUGCUUUGCA